AGGUGUGACGCAGGAAGGUAGCCGGGCCGGGCGAUGGUUGCCCCGGUCUAAGGAUGUAGGGUCAGGGAUAGGCAAAUCCGUUCCUGUGUGCUUCGAGCACGAUCCUGAGAUCUGAUGGGACCCCCGUAUGGGGGGAUCCGGUGAUCCUAUGCUGCCAAGAAAAGCAUCGACGCGAGGUUUUAGCCGCCCGUACCCCAAACCGACACAGGUGAUCAGGUAGAGAAUACCAAGGCGAUCGAGAGAAUUAUGGUUAAG
Molecule: ribosomal RNA, 255 nt
Filed under: Paenarthrobacter aurescens
Lineage: Bacteria; Bacillati; Actinomycetota; Actinomycetes; Micrococcales; Micrococcaceae
Description: partial 23S ribosomal RNA
Rfam family: Bacterial large subunit ribosomal RNA
Source: RNAcentral